CAAUAGCGUAUAUUAAAGUUGUUGCAGUUAAAAAGCUCGUAGUUGGAUUUCUGGUGAGAUGGAUUAUGUCUAGGUCGAAAGAUCUUGUUCAUGGUUCGUUUUGCCCUUCUUGUCAGGAACCCGCUGAGAUUCGCGUUUUGUCGGUGGAAUGGCAUCGUUUACUGUGAAAAAAUUAGAGUGUUCAAAGCAGGCAUCGCCGUUGAAUACAUUAGCAUGGAAUAAUAAGAUAAGACUUUGGUGGUCUAUUUUGUUGGUUUGCACGCCAAAGUAAUGAUUAGUAGGGAUAGUUGGGGGUAUUCGUAUUCUAUUGCUAGAGGUGAAAUUCUUAAAUUUAUGGAAGACGAACUACUGCGAAAGCAUUUACCAAGGAUGUUUUCAUUAA
Molecule: ribosomal RNA, 382 nt
Filed under: uncultured eukaryote
Lineage: Eukaryota
Description: partial 18S ribosomal RNA
Rfam family: Eukaryotic small subunit ribosomal RNA
Source: RNAcentral